GAUGAACGCUGGCGGCGUGCCUAAUACAUGCAAGUCGAGCGAACAGACGAGGAGCUUGCUCCUUUGACGUUAGCGGCGGACGGGUGAGUAACACGUGGGUAACCUACCUAUAAGACUGGGAUAACUUCGGGAAACCGGAGCUAAUACCGGAUAAUAUUUCGAACCGCAUGGUUCGAUAGUGAAAGAUGGCUUUGCUAUCACUUAUAGAUGGACCUGCGCCGUAUUAGCUAGUUGGUAAGGUAACGGCUUACCAAGGCAACGAUGCGUAGCCGACCUGAGAGGGUGAUCGGCCACACUGGAACUGAGACACGGUCCAGACUCCUACGGGAGGCAGCAGUAGGGAAUCUUCCGCAAAGGGCGAAAGCCUGACGGAGCAACGCCGCGUGAGUGAUGAAGGUCUUCGGAUCGUAAAACUCUGUUAUUAGGGAAGAAUAAACGUGUAAGUAACUGUGCACGUCUUGACGGUACCUAAUCAGAAAGCCACGGCUAACUACGUG
This 497-nucleotide ribosomal RNA is filed under the name uncultured bacterium. RNAcentral describes it as "partial 16S ribosomal RNA". It matches the Rfam family "Bacterial small subunit ribosomal RNA", at positions 28 to 507 of the family's 1533-position model. The record is from RNAcentral.